AAAUACGAGGUUUUUAGCUGUCUAUGUACGAGGGAAAAAGUUCUACGGUUGGCAACCCUGUCUGGUUGUCUCUUGUCUCUGGUGUUGUGUAAUCAAAAUCAAAUUUGAGUUAUUGGGGUUAGAUAGGAAAGUACUUAUUUAAAUUUUCUAAAAUUUAAGAAAGGUAAUGGCUUCAGCGAAUGCAGGUAAAGGUCUAGUUGGAUUAUUUAAGCGUGGAUGGCACGAGUUUCCAGAAGGCGUGGCUAGUGGUGUUGUAGGUAUUUUAGGAAUUGCAUUAAUAAUAAACGCAGUACGUAUGUACAGUGCCAAUGACGGAGACAACAGAAAGUACAAAGCAAAAUACACUGUAUAUCGUCACGAUGACCCCAGAGUUGCGAAAAUAAAGCAAUAGAAAUGUAUAACAAAUUUUUUGUUUUUGCAACUUUAUUCACUUAUAGUAUAUAAUAUAUACAUUUUUUGUUAAAUAUGUAGUAGUACUAAAUAAAUUGUAAUUUUAUUAUUAUAAAUUACUAUAAAAAAGAUAUACCACAUAUUCUCCAAUAAAAUAUCACUUUUGAA
This is a long non-coding RNA of Sitophilus oryzae (rice weevil), 558 nucleotides long. RefSeq lists it as uncharacterized. NCBI's taxonomy places the organism in Eukaryota, Metazoa, Arthropoda, Insecta, Coleoptera, Curculionidae. The record is from RefSeq and is a predicted model, not a curated record. The transcript has 2 exons.